This 588-nucleotide ribosomal RNA is filed under the name uncultured bacterium. RNAcentral's name for it is "partial 16S ribosomal RNA". It matches the Rfam family "Bacterial small subunit ribosomal RNA", at positions 355 to 1376 of the family's 1533-position model. The record is from RNAcentral.
UGGGGAAUAUUGCACAAUGGGCGCAAGCCUGAUGCAGCCAUGCCGCGUGUGUGAAGAAGGCCUUCGGGUUGUAAAGCACUUUCAGCGAGGAGGAAGGUGGUGAACUUAAUACGUUCAUCAAUUGACGUUACUCGCAGAAGAAGCACCGGCUAACUCCGUGCCAGCAGCCGCGGUAAUACGGAGGGUGCAAGCGUUAAUCGGAAUUACUGGGCGUAAAGCGCACGCAGGCGGUUUGUUAAGUCAGAUGUGAAAUCCCCGGGCUCAACCUGGGAACUGCAUUUGAAACUGGCAAGCUAGAGUCUCGUAGAGGGGGGUAGAAUUCCAGGUGUAGCGGUGAAACGCGUAGAGAUCUGGAGGAAUACCGGUGGCGAAGGCGGCCCCCUGGACGAAGACUGACGCUCAGGUGCGAAAGCGUGGGGAGCAAAACAGGAUUAGAUACCCUGGUAGUCCACGCUGUAAACGAUGUCGAUUUGGAGGUUGUGCCCUUGAGGCGUGGCUUCCGGAGCUAACGCGUUAAAUCGACCGCCUGGGGAGUACGGCCGCAAGGUUAAAACUCAAAGGAAUUGACGGGGUCAUAGCUGUUUCCUG